Long non-coding RNA from Anguilla rostrata (American eel), 799 nucleotides. RefSeq lists it as uncharacterized. The record is from RefSeq and is a predicted model, not a curated record. The transcript is spliced from 2 exons. NCBI's taxonomy places the organism in Eukaryota, Metazoa, Chordata, Actinopteri, Anguilliformes, Anguillidae.
UUCUACUUAUCCAGGUCUUAAUUGAAGACCAUGAUUAGUUCAUUAGUUGAAUCAUGUGUCAUGGUGUUGGGCUAAAACAAAAACCUGCACCCACACUGGUCCUUUUCAGUUAAGGUUGGAUACUGCUAUUUUACUUUGAGGAAACUUUGGAAAUCAUCUGUAGUGCAGAAGUGAUUUGACAAGUUUUAUUUUUGGUUAAACCUAAAUAACAAAAAUGGGGGGAUAAACAGACAGAGUGAUAAAAGAGAGCAGUGACUCAAAAGAGAAAGGGUUUUGAAAUAAAUACUUCAUAGGCCAAGACCUGUAUUCAAUGAUCAUUUGUCCUUAACAUUUCAAAUGGAAUGGUUAAUAUUUUUCUAUUCAAAUGCAAGGUUUGUCAUGUUCUUUUUGGUGAUUGGGGAACUUACCAAAUUAUAUGUGAAGAAAAUUAAGACUAAUGCUUGCAUUUAUUUGUAAGCCAAAUAUAAGGACACAUUGAUUGAUUGAAUCCAGGCCCAUAACUCCACAGGCCUGGUUUGCCUCUGAAGGUAAAAUACUGUUUGUGAACCAUUGGAUCCAGCCUUUGCCUGAAGUCAAAUGUACAUUCUCAACUGGAGGGAAGUUGAUCUUGGAGAUUUGACUAUAAGUCAUGUGACAGGAGGACGUCACGACGGCGAGAAACGAGAGCGCAUUCCAAGAUGUUUACUCUCAAAGCAGAUAUGUGACACAGGGCCCAGAAAGCAACGCACAAGGGUGCAGUCAGGAGCACUGUAAACGCAUGCCAGCGUGCGUUGUGUUUUUAAGAGUUCCAUGUGCGGCG